CAUCUCCAUGGCCCCCGGAGCUGCCCUUCCUGGCUGACCGGCUGGCCCAGGAGUGCCCGGGGAAAGGAAGCCGUCACUGUGCCCGCCACCGACCAGGCCCUGUCACCAACGCUAUCCUAGCUCAACUUCAUGGCCAUCCUGCAGAGUCCAGAUGGUCACUUUUUCAGAGAAGGAGACAGAAGCUCAGAGAAGGCCGCGGCGUGUCCCAGGUCACACAGCCUUUCCUGGGGCCUAAAACGCCACCACCUGCCCCUUCCUCUGCUGGUGGGAUCCUGGCCCAGGCGCCUUGGGGGCUGAAGUCCCAGACCUGCAGGCUGGUGUGAAGACGUCUGAGUGCUGGGAGCAGGGAGGAGUCUCCCUUCCGCGUUGUGAUCCCCGGCCGCAGAGCGCUGCAUUCCCGAAACCUUGUCCUAACAGGAGGUCCGGAGUCCAAGCCGGGGUGGGGAGACGCCUGGCGGGAGCCCGGAAGGGACUCUUUCUUCCUCCAGCAGGGUUUUCGGUUUCAGAACUGAACCUGUGGGGGGAGGGGGCUGGGGAGAAGCCCGGAGUAGUCCCCCCCGGGGGUUUCUGCAGGUGAGGUGCCUCUCUCCAUACCGAGGCCUGGGGAGAGUCUGCAGGGUCAGCUUCCCAGGCUCUUCCCAAAUGCGUCCUUGCCUCCCCCCUGCCCCCGAGGCCACGUGGCAGGAGGGGGGAGGGGGUGAUGUACUAGAGAGCCCUGCAUGUAGUGCACAAAGGGCUGGAGGAAGGAGGGAGGGAAGGGCCGGGUGCAAGGUUAUGUUUAAGCAAGCGCUGGACCUGAACCUGGCAGGAGUGAGACCCGUCUCUUCUUCAGCACCACCCCCAUCCCUGUGCAGCCCCAGGCCCCUCUGGUCAGUGACCCUCACUGUUCCUUGGUCUGAUGGCUCCUGGAAGGACAGGGACUGGGGACCAGGCUGGAGCUCAGCUGCGGUGUCCGCUCCGAUUGGGGUUCUCACUCACUCAGACCCAGGACAAGCGCCGUGAGGGGCUUCAGAGGAGAAGGUCCCCCUCUUCGCCCCGAUGUUCAGCAGACACUACGCUAGCGAGUGUUACACACACUCCAGGAUGCUGAGCCUAAGUCUCCGCACGUUGUUAUGGUAAAUAAAGUGUUUUCUGAUUC
Molecule: long non-coding RNA, 1138 nt
Organism: Myotis davidii
Lineage: Eukaryota; Metazoa; Chordata; Mammalia; Chiroptera; Vespertilionidae
Exons: 2
Source: RefSeq, a predicted model, not a curated record